RNAcentral lists this long non-coding RNA (396 nucleotides) under Jatropha curcas. RNAcentral's name for it is "long non-coding RNA (JCUR_LNC003564)". Lineage: Eukaryota; Viridiplantae; Streptophyta; Magnoliopsida; Malpighiales; Euphorbiaceae. The record is from RNAcentral.
UAUUCUUUUAUUCAAUAACUUGAAUGAAAAUUCAAUUUCAACUAGACCUAUAAAAUUUAACACUACCACAGCCAUUGCUUUAGCUCUUAAUAGAAGAUGAGAGUCAAAUUUCAUUUUUUGAAGGGAACAAAUUAAAUAAGAAAAAAUUAAAAUGGUAGUAUAUUGUAAAUUUUCACAAAAAGGAGUGGCUUCGUCAUUGGUUACAGAUUGCCGCAUAUCACAUCAAAACGGAUACAAAAGCUGCUUCUUGAUUCAAUACCUAAAUUUUCAUUUUCAUUCAAAAAUGUAUUGAACGUAAAAAUGCCGACUAAUAUAUAUAUAUACACACCAUUCUAACUAUACAACCUAAAUCCUUUCACGUGGCUCACGGCUUCUGGAGCUUUACUAUAACCUUAC